GGGUAUGAGGGCAGUCUGGCUGUGAUAUCUGUCACCCCAUUCAUCGCCAGGGUUAAUUUGGCUGAUCUGGCUGGCUAGGCAGGUGCCUUCUUGUUCCUUCACCUCUCCAUGUGUGUCCCUUCCCAAAGUUAAGCGAGGACAUUUCCUGAAUAGAGACUGACUCCAUUGAGGGUAUACAAGUAGCCACACUCCCCUGCUAGAACCUCCAGACAAGCUCUCAAGGUCCGAAGCUUCUUUCAGUUUGGUAGGGGGCCAGACCUGAACCUGGAUUGUGCACAUGGCAAAGCAACACACUAU
RNAcentral lists this small nuclear RNA (297 nucleotides) under Erinaceus europaeus (western European hedgehog). Its description in RNAcentral is "7SK RNA (ENSEEUG00000021804.1)". It matches the Rfam family "7SK RNA". Rfam says of the family: 7SK was discovered as an abundant small nuclear RNA in the mid-70s but a possible function has only recently been suggested. Two independent studies have found that 7SK RNA binds the CDK9/cyclin T complex (known as elongation factor P-TEFb). Lineage: Eukaryota; Metazoa; Chordata; Mammalia; Eulipotyphla; Erinaceidae. The record is from RNAcentral.